GACUUUUGUUGAAAAUAAUAUGAUGAUUUUGUGAUUGAACCAUUGAUUGAAGAUGUACCAGACGAGGGCGUGUGCAUGACAACCAUUGAUUGAAGAUGUCCAAGUCUGUGUUAACAUUAAAUGUUGGUGGAGUACUCUAUACAACCACUACAGCCACCCUGUUGAAGUUUCCUGAAUCUAUGCUGGGCUCUCUGCUUGGCCGUGGUAUGCCAAGCACUAAAGAUGCAAAUGGUCAUCUUUUUAUUGACAGAGAUGGUCAUACCUUCAGACACAUUCUCAAUUUUUUAAGAUGCUCCCAGCUGUGCCUGCCAGCCAACUUUAAAGAGUUAGACCUGCUGAGUGCUGAGGCGGACUUCUAUCAGAUCUCUCCUCUCAUAGACGCCAUCAAUGACUUGAGAGAUAAGAGGAAAGGGCACACAUUUUACUUAGAGAUAAUUGAAGUUAGAACAGGCUCAACAGCCACAAUGCCAACGUGUAAUUCAAGGGUCAAGACUAUUUUACUGGGGCGCACAGACAUUCUUCUCACCCUGCCCCCUGUUGUCAUUGGCUCUGAUAGCAGUGAAAGGUUGAGCUGUAAAGAGCCGUAUGAGUACACAGAACUUGAGUUGUUUGGCAGCCCUGUGCGCCUAAGGGUUGGGGAAGAGCUACAUAAUUUAGGCUGGACUUUAAUUUCCUCAGAUCUUUCAACUUCUUCAGGCUUUGAUAAUAAAUCUCAAAUAGGCAUGAGCCUUAUCAUAGAACAUACAUUUAGAGAUAGAUGGUGUCGAGAGUUUGCUCCAGAUGAACCAAUCAAAAUAAAUCCAAAUCAUACCAUGUUAUUGGAGGAUGCCAAUGUGUGACUCAUCAAGGAUGUGUCCUUGCUACCAUUCAGCUGCAUUGAUUUCAUCUGUCCCUCCAACUAGGACAGGCUAGCAGCUCAUACACCUGCAUUGAUUUCAUCUGUCUUUCCAACUAGGACAGGCUAGCAGCUCAUACAGGUGCAUUGAUUUCAUCUGUCCUUCCAACUAGGACAGGCUAGCAGCUCAUACAGGUGCAUUGAUUUCAUCUGUCCUUCCAACUAGGACAGGCUAGCAGCUCUAACUUAUGAAACUGUUCUUUUGUAUGAACUGUUCUUUUUGUUCUAAAAUGUCUUGUUUAUUGCUCUAAAGAAUGCAUUUGUAUUUAAGUGAUUAGAUCAAAGUUGUUCUAAAUUUCCAAGUUUGUCUGGCUAAUUGCCUAUUGGAGUAUUGAAUCUGUUCAAUGAAAAAUGUGAAUGACAGACGUAACUCUGUUGUGUAGAGUUUCAGCUGUAGUAGUCUGUUGUGUAGAGUUUCAGCUGUAGUAGUCUGUUGUGCAGAGUUUCAGCUGUAGUAGUCUGUUGUGCAGAGUUUCAGCUGUAGUAGUCUGUUGUGCAGAGUUUCAGCUGUAGUAGUCUGUUGUGCAGAGUUUCAGCUGUAGUAGUCUGUUGUGCAGAGUUUCAGCUGUAGUAGUCUGUUGUGCAGAGUUUCAGCUGUAGUAGUCUGUUGUGCAGAGUUUCAGCUGUAGUAGUCUGUUGUGUAGAGUUUCAGCUGUAGUAGUCUGUUGUGCAGAGUUUCAGCUGUAGUAGCUGUAGUAUUCAGCUGGGUGAAUUUUGUUUUUGUUGGCUGGGUUUGCGUGAGUGCUUAACCCUUUCCCCGGCAACAUAUUUGGUACCCUGUCCCCGGCAACUGGGUGGAUCACACCCAAAGACUUUCUUAUAGUAAAUUCUUUUCUUUGUUCAUUGUGGGGUGGGUAACAAUACUGACACAGUUGAGGUAUUUAGGGAACAGAGGCCAUGGGGAACACAAGACAUGUUGUCAAUGGGAGAGCUGUAAUAUGAUAGUAAUAUGAUACUAGUGGUUGGUGGGAUUCUCAAGCUAGAGUUAACCUGUGGGUGGACACAUGUAGUGAUUUAUACUCUUUGCUAGAGCUCUGACUUGCAGUUACAGACAGAACUGUAGUUUAGAGUUACAAUAGGUUAAUGAAAUGCAGGGGUAAGAUUGCCUGUGGGAGGACAUUUAUAGUGAUUUGUACUCUUUUAGGGAGCUCUAGAAUGUAGAUAGAGACAUUCGAGCCUUUUAGAGUAACUUGACAUUUACCUCAUUAGGAGUACGAAUGAGGACAAAAAGGCAAAACAACUUUGUAAUGCUGCUUGUAAGUUAAUACUGGGCAAUUAAUUGAUCAAACUGGAAGUGGGGUGGGUGUUCUACAGGUUGUGACCCUGAGAGUAAGGUUUAUAAAUAGUCACAAACGUUAUUGAGAACACAACAGAAACAAGUCUUGAACGCUUUUGUCUAAACUCAAGUGCUAAUGAUAAAGGAAUAUAUUUGCCAGUUUUAGUAUAGCAGGUGAAAAUGACCAACAAGUUUUGAGUCUGAACUAUUAGUAUCAGAGGUAGAAGAUGAAGAAUGGCAGCCAACAGUAUCAAGCAGCUCUGAUGACGAGGUCUACCCACUAUACUGCAUUUCAACUAUCAAUAAUGUGUCAACAGUUGGCACUCAUAAUGAAAUGAAACGGCUGGUGCAAAGUGAAGAAAAAGAAAUAUUUUCAGGAAAGACAAAGUAACAGUACACUAGACCACUGCCUGAAGUGCUAAUCCCAGGAAAUUUACAAACAGUCUGACCCUAAAUAUUUCUUCUGUGCAUGAAUACAAAAAAUAAUACAACCAAUAUUUGACUGCAUUAGCAGAGAUGGAGAGAAAGCAAGAGGAGACACUGGCACUCUGCAGAAUAACAAUUUAGUUGUAUGUCAAUUCAGUUCUGCUUAUGGAAGUUUUUGAAGGCAGAAUUUUCUAUGAAGAAAUUCAGCAACCUUCUGGGUCAUAUUCACUUCACAACAAUAACACUAACAGUCCAUCAGGCUCAUGGUAUAUUUGCUUCCAUUAUGGUAGAUAUUCCAUUCAAAUUUAGAAAGGUGUUAUGUUUCUGGAGAGAUCAUUACUAAUUAGCAAGUGGUUGAUUUUAGAGGUGGGAGUAGAUUUAUCCAAUACAUACCAAGCAAUUCCGAUAAGUAUGGAAUUAAAAUAUUUUGGACAUGUGACUCAUGUAACACCACUAAAAGGGUGGCCAUAUUUUAUAAAAAAAAAACAACUAAAGUUCCCUGCCAGCAAAAGGAAAUGUCCAGUUAUUUUAAUUUUAACUAACAACUGUGCUCUCUGAGGUGCACAUUUUUAAAACGUGUUAAUGUUCUAAUAUUUUGUUACUAAAGUUGAUUACUUCAAUUGGUUUGAUAUUUUUGUUACUCAAAUACCUUCAGAUUGUUAAUUUAUAGUUAAACUUUGAAAAUGUAACACAAUGACUUAACCCACAAUGAGUAAAAUCAAAUUGUUAGAAGCCAGUUUAUAAGUUAUACAUUUUUUUUUUCAUUCAAAAUUGUGUACGGGUGUGUAGCACCCAGUUGCCAGGGACCGUAUAAAAAAAUUUCAAACCCUCAUAAAAAAAAUUUUUACGCAUAUUUUUAAAAUUUACAACCUCCAAUGUGUUCAUCCUAACCACCUUAUAGAUGGGAAUGAGGCCCAGAAAAAUUUAUAAAACGAGACUCGAGAUAUGAGCAAAAAUAUAGCGACUUCGGGUCGAUUACACCCAGUCGCCGGGGAAAGGGUUAAGUACAGGACAUGUUACUUGCUUGCGUGAGUGAUUAAGUAGAGAACAUGUUACCUGCUUGUGUGAGUGCAUAAGUAGAGAACAUGUUACCUGCUUGUGUGAGUGCUUAAGUAGAGAACAUGUUACCUGCUUGAGUGAGUGCUUAAGUAGAGAACAUGUUACCUGCUUGUGUGAGUGCUUAAGUAGAGAACAUGUUACCUGCUUGAGUGAGUGCUUAAGUAGAGAACAUGUUACCUGCUUGUGUGAGUGCUUAAGUAGAGAACAUGUUACCUGCUUGUGUGAGUGCUUAAGUAGAGAACAUGUUACCUGCUUGAUAAAUCCAGAUGUCUGAUGUUGUCAGCCUUAUAGACCUUUUUAUCACUAUCAGCCACACUCUCUCAUGCUCAGGCCAUUGUGGAAUUUUGUGUCUUCUCUAAAAUUGUUAUUCUUUCGUUUGGUUGAUCAUGUUCAUGUAUGAUUGAAGAUUUUUAUAAUGUAUGUAGAUACUGUUAAAUUAAAUAAUGUAAUGCCUGUUAUGUUAAAAUUGUAAAACAAAUUUUAUCUGAAUGCAAUA
Molecule: RNA transcript, 4152 nt
Organism: Physella acuta
Lineage: Eukaryota; Metazoa; Mollusca; Gastropoda; Physidae
Gene name: BTB/POZ domain-containing protein KCTD6
Source: RefSeq, a predicted model, not a curated record